RNAcentral lists this ribosomal RNA (484 nucleotides) under uncultured Pseudomonadota bacterium. Its description in RNAcentral is "bacterial SSU rRNA". It matches the Rfam family "Bacterial small subunit ribosomal RNA", at positions 1 to 526 of the family's 1533-position model. Lineage: Bacteria; Pseudomonadati; Pseudomonadota. The record is from RNAcentral.
ACUAGCAGUAAGAGUUUGAUCAUGGCUCAGAGCGAACGCUGGCGGCAGGCUUAACACAUGCAAGUCGAGCGCCCGUAGCAAUACGGGAGCGGCAGACGGGAGAGUAACACGUGGGAACGUGCCCUUCAGUUCGGAACAACCCAGGGAAACUUGGGCUAAUACCGGAUACGCCCUUCGGGGGAAAGAUUUAUCGCUGAUGGAGCGGCCCGCGUCUGAUUAGCUAGUUGGUGAGGUAAUGGCUCACCAAGGCGACGAUCAGUAGCUGGUCUGAGAGGAUGAUCAGCCUCACUGGGACUGAGACACGGCCCAGACUCCUACGGGAGGCAGCAGUGGGGAAUAUUGGACAAUGGGCGCAAGCCUGAUCCAGCCAUGCCGCGUGGGUGAUGAAGGCCUUAGGGUUGUAAAGCCCUUUCGGCGGGGAAGAUAAUGACGGUACCCGCAGAAGAAGCCCCGGCUAACUUCGUGCCAGCCGCCGCGGUAAUUC